UUCGCAAUGCCCGAAAGGGUGACGAUGCGACGCCGCGUGAGCGAAGAAGGCCCUAGGGUUGUAAAGCUCUGUCGAGGGUUAUGAAAUAUAGAUGGGUUAAUACCCCAUUUAUUUGGCAAAAGCCCAAAAGGAAGCCACGGCUAACUCUGUGCCAGCAGCCGCGGUAAUACAGAGGUGGCGAGCGUUGUUCGGUAUUAUUGGGCGUAAAGAGCACGUAGGUGGUUUUGUAAGUCAGGUGUGAAAGCCUUCCGUUCAAAGGAAGAACGGCAUCUGAAACUGCAGAUCUUGAGUGUAGGAGGGGAGAGUGGAACUUCUGGUGGAGCGGUGAAAUGCGUAGAUAUCAGAAGGAACGUCGGCGGCGAAAGCGACUCUCUGGCCUAUUACUGACACUGAGGUGCGAAAGUUAGGGGAGCAAACGGGAUUAGAUACCCCGGUAGUCCUAACCGUAAACGAUGGGCACUAAGUAGAGGGGUUUU
Molecule: ribosomal RNA, 476 nt
Filed under: uncultured anaerobic ammonium-oxidizing bacterium
Lineage: Bacteria
Description: bacterial SSU rRNA
Rfam family: Bacterial small subunit ribosomal RNA
Source: RNAcentral